AAAGAUCGAUACCGAGGGGGGCAUAACGCCCCGGAGAAUUUCCUGCUCACGCAGGCAGCCUGUACCGCGUACAGUCUGAAACUCCCUAUACCUCAACAGCCUGUUACCCCGGCGUGAAGGUAUCGUUCU
Molecule: small RNA, 129 nt
Organism: Erwinia mallotivora
Lineage: Bacteria; Pseudomonadati; Pseudomonadota; Gammaproteobacteria; Enterobacterales; Erwiniaceae
Rfam family: EFASI RNA
Source: Rfam